UGGGGAAUAUUGCACAAUGGGCGCAAGCCUGAUGCAGCCAUGCCGCGUGUAUGAAGAAGGCCUUCGGGUUGUAAAGUACUUUCAGUCGGGAGGAAGGUGGUAAGGUUAAUAACCUUAUCAAUUGACGUUACCGACAGAAGAAGCACCGGCUAACUCCGUGCCAGCAGCCGCGGUAAUACGGAGGGUGCAAGCGUUAAUCGGAAUUACUGGGCGUAAAGCGCACGCAGGCGGUUGAUUGAGUCAGAUGUGAAAUCCCCGGGCUUAACCCGGGAAUUGCAUCUGAUACUGGUCAGCUAGAGUCUUGUUGAGUGGGGUAGAAUUCCAUGUGUAGCGGUGCGAUGCGUAGAGAUGUGGCGGAAUACCGGUAGCGAAGGCGGCCCCCUGGACAAAGACUGACGCUCAGGUGCGAAAGCGUGGGGAGCAAACAGG
RNAcentral lists this ribosomal RNA (429 nucleotides) under Chloroflexota bacterium. RNAcentral describes it as "Chloroflexi bacterium partial 16S ribosomal RNA". It matches the Rfam family "Bacterial small subunit ribosomal RNA", at positions 355 to 776 of the family's 1533-position model. Lineage: Bacteria; Bacillati; Chloroflexota. The record is from RNAcentral.